This 362-nucleotide transfer RNA is filed under the name uncultured Microcystis sp. RNAcentral's name for it is "partial 16S-23S ribosomal RNA intergenic spacer". The stretch from base 135 to 208 matches the Rfam family "tRNA". Lineage: Bacteria; Bacillati; Cyanobacteriota; Cyanophyceae; Chroococcales; Microcystaceae. The record is from RNAcentral.
AAGGGAGACCUAAUUCAGGUAGGAGACGAAAAAAAAGUAGUCCCGACCAAGAAUCAAUCCCAAAAGGUCGGAGCGAGGCGAAAUUGGCUUUCAAACUAGGUUCUGGGUUCACACAAGACCUGAAUCAGGAACAAGGGCUAUUAGCUCAGGUGGUUAGAGCGCACCCCUGAUAAGGGUGAGGUCCCUGGUUCGAGUCCAGGAUGGCCCACCUGCACAGGUGGCAAAAACAAGAGAAGCGAGGAAUCAGCACCUUAUCUUAUCUAUAUAUAUAUAGGAGAGAAUGCUGGCUCUGAGUAAAGAGUCCAGAGGAACCUUGAAAACUGCAUAGAGCUAGGUGAAAAAGCCAAAAAAGAAGACCGCAA